GUGACCUAGGGUUGUGGAUUUCAUCAUUGUUUCUAGAAAUAGAUUUUGUGGUUUUGUUAUAAUUGGUGUUUAGAAGUUGUAUUCGAAGUUUGAGAGUGUUGCAGCCUUGUUCGAAGUGGUGUUAGUCAAAAAAUAUGGAGUUGAUUCUACGAAGAAGACGAGCUGGGAUUCCUUUGAUUUCCUGAACUAUUAUUCAAAAUUGAUUCCAAAAU
This 212-nucleotide long non-coding RNA is filed under the name Nicotiana benthamiana. RNAcentral's name for it is "long non-coding RNA (NBEN_LNC022335)". The record is from RNAcentral. Lineage: Eukaryota; Viridiplantae; Streptophyta; Magnoliopsida; Solanales; Solanaceae.